CUCGCGCAUCCUCGGUUCCCCAAUGCGCCGCCACCGCUCGCCGACGUGCAGUCCAACGCCGGCCGCCUCCGCCGCCUCCACGCAAACUUCUUCUUGGUCCCCUCCACCGUAUCCCUACCCGCACCCCGCCUUUCCGCCCCUGAGCGCGACGCCGCGCCUAACCCUAGCCGUCGGGUUCGUCACUGUCGCCGCCGCCGCUCCUCCGAGCCCCCGCGGGGGAGGGGGGGUACUAAGCGUGCAGAUCGGGGGCGCGGCGGCCGCGGUGCUGCGAGGUGUCAUCUCUCCUGAACAACAGCCGAGGAUGCCUGGGGCCGGCGCCGGCGUGCGGCGCCGAGGCCUCGCCGGGCCGCUACGUGCGCCGCCACGACGAGGUGACGCCAGACGACGACGGCUGCGACGACGUGUUCCGGGUCGCCGUGCGGGGGCCCGGGGACGACCCCUUCGACAUCCCAGCCAAGCGGGCGCCCGUCGAGCGGCUGCGCCGAUGGAGGCAAGCUGCACUUGUGCUCAAUGCUUCUCGGCGAUUCAGAUACUCUUGACUUGAAAAAAGAGGAAGAAAAAGAACAUAUAAGGAGGAAAAUUAGGGCUCAUGCUCAAGUCAUACGAGCUGCGUUACUUUUCAAGGAAGCAGGAGAAAAGCAGAAUGGCGAUAGAGAAUUACAAGCGAGAAGUUUUAUCAACAAGGCCUGGAGGAUUAGGCUUGCCAUGGACAUGGCAGCGAUAGUCAACCGCAGCCUUGCAUCGAUGCACCGGGCUUACUUCUCCGCUUCAGAUUUCACGGCACAUGGGCAACAGAUGACAAGCCGAUAAGAAUUUCAAUGGGGAACCCACCUAGAUUGGAACCAGCGGAAUAGGUUACACCAGUUCUGAGGGCCACUGCUUAUAACACCUAUCCAGCAAAAUGGGCAAUGCUCGGUUUUGUUCAAUUGGCCUCCUAUGAAGCCAUGGGAUAUUGUUAGGUCAAAAACAAAUAUCAAUAAGUUCAAAGAUUAAUUGUGGGCUGCAACUCAACAUAAAAAUAAACGGCGAACUGAUCGACUUAGUAAUUAAUUGUGGGCUGCAACUCAGCAUCAAAAUAAAUGAUGAACUGAUGGACUUAGUAAUUAAAUGUGUCACUGCAUUUAGUCAGUGGUUACGUCUAUGUUUUUAUGUUCAGAUUUCAUCUGUACUUAUAUGAGAAAGGGGAAACCCCUAUAGGUGAAAAUAGGUGUAAGAUUUAAUGUAAAUCAGAUACAUUGUUAAUAUAUAUGGAUUGGUUAACAUUUAGUUCAUGCAUAUUUAGACUUUUCCCAACAAAUAUUUGUCUCCCAUGUAAUGUUAACAAAAUUAUAUAAGGUUUAUGACAUUACACAAGAGCAAUAUAAUAUCCAUAAGAAUAUCUAUAUCCUCAAAUUUCAUCAUGUUGCAUUAACCCGUGCGCUGAAGCUGAUAUAACUGAGUACUUGAUACAUCAGGUCAAUUUUUGUAUUAAGUUAUCUACAGGUUAAUUUUUUGUUAUUGUUAGCUAAGUGUUCUUAUUUGAUAGGUUCAGAAACUAAGGGGAACAUGGUGAUUUUUUUCAAAGUAGACGGCCUAUCCAUGUUACAAAUUCAAUGUUCAUCACAUAAUUUAAACCUCUGUAAUCACCAUUGAUUUAAUCAUACUAGAAGGAUUAAACGCUGCAGGUUUUCAUCUACUGCAUCAAUAGUGCCGUGGCAUUUUCUUAUAUGGUCUCAUUAGAAAUCUGAUAAGAAAAUUAUGCCUCCACAGGUCUGAUUGAGUCUCCACAUACGUAUUGAAUUAGGUCUGAAGUUGCGUUUUGACGUCUCCUACGCCGCAGUGGUUUUGUACCCCACGUGCGGCACGUCUGCAGCCUCCUCUUUCUGCCCUACAACAACCGUCUACUUUCUGUCUUUCUAAGCCACGGUUAUUUUUUUCAGUCACAGUAAGGAUUUUGGAGACGGAAAGGAUUAGAAUUUGUGUGGUUAUUUAGGGAACCCACCGUUUUUAAAGUUGUGCACACAAUCACGUAAAACCACAGAGCCAUUUGGCAUUCGGAGAACUGAAUAAAAUUUCAUUUUUAGUUUCUGCUGCAUAAGGUUGUUGGACAGAUAUAGAUCUACAUGUGUAUGGCCAAUAUUUCGUUAAUAAGCAUAUAUUUGACAAAACUUAGCGUAUAUGGGCAUCAAAGCCAUACACAACAAAUCUCUAAAUAUUGUUUGCCUAUGUGUCCAUGAAUUACUGUAUGUAUACUUGCAUUAUUGGAAUCGAAGUGUGUUUGCAUUAAAGUGGACUACUUGCUUUACUCUAUUUUUUUGUCAGGAUAAAUUACUGGAACUGCUGGGAUUUGGAGUAGAUCUGCAUCUUCUUGUAGAGGAUCAUUGUCUUUUCCGGGUGCUGUACAAUUUAGGCAAACAAUAUUCCUCCUGGGCAUUGGGCUGCGAGUAGGCUGUGAAGAGACACAUGGGAUAGAAGCCACAAGCAAAUGGAAGCCAGUAUGAUGUGUGAUUGUGUUCCAGAUCUGCUUGAUGAACCCUGUUGGUUAGACAAGUAAGAUGGAAGCCAAUUAGAUGAACCAUGUUAGAUGAACCUUGUUGUGUAUUUUAUCUAAUGGUUUCAAACCAUGCUGUUCAUGAUGUGGAGAUGAACACUGUUGGUCAUGGAAGUUAAUUAGAUGCCUGGAUUGUGAAUCCUUGAAUGUUCAAAAUGUUGGUUUCAAACA
Molecule: non-coding RNA, 2701 nt
Organism: Lolium perenne
Lineage: Eukaryota; Viridiplantae; Streptophyta; Magnoliopsida; Poales; Poaceae
Source: RefSeq, a predicted model, not a curated record